UCUUCCGUAGUAUAGUGGUCAGUAUGUGAGCUUGUCAUUAGCCGACAUCGCUCGAGACCCGGGUUCAAUUCCCGGCGGGAGAG
This 83-nucleotide transfer RNA is filed under the name Apiosordaria backusii. It matches the Rfam family "tRNA". From Rfam's summary of the family: Transfer RNA (tRNA) molecules are approximately 80 nucleotides in length. Their secondary structure includes four short double-helical elements and three loops (D, anti-codon, and T loops). The record is from Rfam by way of RNAcentral. Lineage: Eukaryota; Fungi; Ascomycota; Sordariomycetes; Sordariales; Lasiosphaeriaceae.